RNAcentral lists this ribosomal RNA (391 nucleotides) under Pachymerus cardo. Its description in RNAcentral is "partial 12S small subunit ribosomal RNA". The record is from RNAcentral. Lineage: Eukaryota; Metazoa; Arthropoda; Insecta; Coleoptera; Chrysomelidae.
UAAACUAGGAUUAGAUACCCUAUUAUUUUAAAAGUGUGUUUUUACCAGAUUAGUAGUAGUUAAGUUCUUGAAAAUUAAAAAAUUUGGCGGUAUUUUAGUCUUUUCAGAGGAACCUGUCCUGUAAUUGAUGGUCCACGAUUAAAUGAACUUUAUUUAUUAGUUUACAUAUCGUUGUAGUUGGAAUAUUUUAAGAGAAUAAUGUUCAUGAUUAUUAAUUAGUGAGGAUAUCAGAUCAAGGUGUAGUUUAUAAUAAAGUAGAGAUGGGUUACAAUAAAUUUAUUUUAGGAUAAUUUUUAGUAAAAAAGUUUGAAUUUGGAUUUGAGGGUAAUUUUAAUUAUUUAGUUAAGAUGAUUAAGCUCUAAAAUAUGUACACAUCGCCCGUCGCUCUUAA